This 486-nucleotide ribosomal RNA is filed under the name uncultured Cortinarius. RNAcentral's name for it is "eukaryotic LSU rRNA". The stretch from base 141 to 294 matches the Rfam family "5.8S ribosomal RNA". Lineage: Eukaryota; Fungi; Basidiomycota; Agaricomycetes; Agaricales; Cortinariaceae. The record is from RNAcentral.
CUGGUUCUCUAGGGAGCAUGUGCCACCUUGUCAUCUUUAUAUCUCCACCUGUGCACCUUUUGUAGACCUUACAGGUCUAUGUUGCCUAUUCAUUUACACCAAUGUAUGUUAAUAGAAUGUUGUGACUAUAAAAUCUAUACAACUUUCAGCAACGGAUCUCUUGGCUCUCGCAUCGAUGAAGAACGCAGCGAAAUGCGAUAAGUAAUGUGAAUUGCAGAAUUCAGUGAAUCAUCGAAUCUUUGAACGCACCUUGCGCUCCUUGGUAUUCCGAGGAGCAUGCCUGUUUGAGUGUCAUUAAUAUAUAUAUCAACCCUCUUUUUUUGAGUGGUUUGGAUGUGAGGGUUUGCCGGAUUCUUAAAAGGGUUCAGCUCUCUUGAAAUGCAUUAGCAGAACAACCCUGCUCAUUGGUGUGAUAACUAUCUACACUAUUGAAUGCAAGGGCCAGUUCAGCUUUCUAACAGUCCUUGGACAAUCAUCAUUUAUGUG